GGCCUUGAGGUUAAGCCUAACCAGUCCGUCAAGGUUUCACCUGAUGAUGACCACUUCCUCCAUCUCUCCCAGGGUGCCCUUGGCGAAGUCAAGAAGGAUGACAAGGCAACCAUGUUCGUCAAGAUCGGCGACCAGAAGCUGGCCAUCGGGACCCUCUCUACCGACAAGUUCCCUCAGAUCCAGUUUGACCUCGUCUUCGAGAAGGAGUUUGAGCUGUCACACAAUUCCAAGACAUCCAGCGUCUUCUUCUCUGGCUACAAGGUUUUCCAGCCUGCCGAGGGAGAUGAGAUGGAUUUUGAUUCUGAGGAUGACUCUGAGGAGGAGGAAGAGAAGAUCAUUCCAGCACUCACCAAGGAAAAUGGCAAACCUGAAGCCAAGGAGCAGAAGAAGCAGGUUAAGAUUGACACUGCUGCGCCUUCAAAGUCAAAGGCCGCUGCCAAGGAUGUGGGAAAAUCUAAGAAGGAUGAUGACAGCGAUGAUGAUGAUGACAGUGAUGAGGAUGACAGCGAAGAUGACUCUGGUGAUGAUGGAGCAUUGAUUCCCAUGGAGGAUGAUUCUGAUGACAGUGAGGAUGGUGAUGACUCCUCUGAUGAUAGCGAGGAUAGCUCUGAUGAGGAGGAAGAAGAAACACCCAAGAAGCAAGAGACUGGGAAGAAGAGGGUGGCUGGAAGCGUGUUGAAGACCCCUGUUACUGACAAGAAGGCCAAGAUUGCAACACCGUCAGGCCAGAAGACAGGUGACAAGAAGGGAGCUGUCCAUGUGGCGACUCCGCACCCGGCCAAGAAGGCAGGCAAGACCCCAGCAACCAGUGAGAAGUCGCCCAAGUCUGGAGGGUCGGUCGCGUGCAAGUCGUGCAGCAAGACAUUCAACAGUGAGGGCGCUCUAGCUUCGCACUCCAAGGCCAAGCAUGAGGCCAAGUAG
RNAcentral lists this ribosomal RNA (921 nucleotides) under Triticum aestivum (bread wheat). RNAcentral's name for it is "partial small subunit ribosomal RNA". The record is from RNAcentral. Lineage: Eukaryota; Viridiplantae; Streptophyta; Magnoliopsida; Poales; Poaceae.